Molecule: ribosomal RNA, 485 nt
Filed under: uncultured bacterium
Lineage: Bacteria
Description: partial 16S ribosomal RNA
Rfam family: Bacterial small subunit ribosomal RNA
Source: RNAcentral
AGUGAACGCUGGCGGCGUGCUUAACACAUGCAAGUCGAACGAGAACGGGCUAUAGCUUGCUAUAGUUGUCAGCUAAGUGGCGCACGGGUGAGUAAUGCAUAGGUAAUAUGCCUCUUACUAAGGGAUAACAAAUGGAAACGUUUGCUAAUACCUUAUACUCCUUAUUAACAGAAGUUAAUAAGGGAAAGAUUUAUUGGUAAGAGAUUAGCCUGUAUUGUAUCAGUUAGUUGGUGGGGGUAAUGGCUUACCAAGACUAUGACACAUAACUGGUUUGAGAGGAUGAUCAGUCACACUGGAACUGAGACACGGUCCAAACUCCUACGGGAGGCAGCAGUGGGGAAUAUUGCACAAUGGACGAAAGUCUGAUGCAGCAACGCCGCGUGGAGGAUGACACAUUUCGGUGCGUAGACUCCUUUUAUAUGAGAAGAUAAUGACGGUAGUCGGAGAAGAAGCCCCGGCUAACUUCGUGCCAGCCGCCGCAGUAA